This 2594-nucleotide ribosomal RNA is filed under the name Kudoa whippsi. RNAcentral's name for it is "eukaryotic LSU rRNA". It matches the Rfam family "Eukaryotic large subunit ribosomal RNA", at positions 1 to 2198 of the family's 3401-position model. Lineage: Eukaryota; Metazoa; Cnidaria; Myxozoa; Multivalvulida; Kudoidae. The record is from RNAcentral.
UGGACCUCAACUCAGGCAAGACUACCUGCUGAACUUAAGCAUAUCAGUAAGCAGAGGAAAAGAAAACAACUGUGAUUCCCUUAGUAACUGCGAGUGAAGCGGGAUAAGCCCAUCGUUUAAUCUUCCCGGACUAUGGACGGGACGACGUGUAACGGUAUGGAUAGGUUCUCUAUCGACAAUGUCUGGUCAAAGUCCUCCGGAUUGAGGUGCCAGAGAAGGUGACAGCCCUGUGUGGGACUGGACAGCGUCGAGUAGGUGGCCGAUUCCGAGAGUCGGGUUGUUUGGGACUGCAACCUAAAGCAGGUGGUAAACUCCACCCAAGGCUAAAUAUUGACACGAAACCGAUAGCGAACAAGUACUGUGAAGGAAAGUUGAAAAGAACUCUGAAAAGAGAGUUAAAAGUACGUGAAACCGCUAACGGGGAAGCGGAAGGCAGUGUCGAGAUUGAGUGAGUGAGUUGUGUCAAGUURAUCUAAGAGUGGUAGAUUAUUUGGGGCRACUAGCUUUGCUUGAUGCGUCAGGACUAUCGGUGUGCGAYGGCUCAAUCGCAGGCAUGGCUUCCACGACACCAUGCACCUCACUUGUGGAGUGUGUGGCUCGUGGUUGCGGCAGGCGAUCCACCUCGUGUGCUGAUAUUGGAUGUGGUGAGGCGUUGGUGAUCAUUAAUUUUUAAUGUGUCGGUUGGUGCUGUGUGGUGCUCCGCGUAGUCACAGUGUGGCUACGUAAACGUAAGUGGUGGGAGAAACCGGGCGGCAGCUCAACAACCAGUGCCAGCUCCUGACGUGAUACCUAACCUUCCGACCCGUCUUGAAACACGGACCAAGGAGGCAGAAUCUAGAGCGAGUUGGRGGGUGGAAAACCCGACGGCGUAGUGAAAGCGAGAGAUGAGACUCUGGCGCUUCGGCGGUGGAGGCAUCAUCGGCCAGUCGCUCAUAAAUCAGCUCACUAAUAUUUAUAUUAGCAAGUUGAGGGUGACUGAGUUUGAGCUGUAGAUGCUGGACCCGAAAGAUGGUGAACUAUGCGUGAGCAGGGUGAAGCCAGAGGAAACUCUGGUGGAGGCUCGAAGCGAUUCUGACGUGCAAAUCGAUCGUUUGACUUGCGUAUAGGGGCGAUAGACUAAUCGAACCAUCUAGUAGCUGGUUCCCUUCGAAAUAUCCCUCAGGAUCGCUGAGACAAGUGGGAGACAGUUUCAUCGGGUAGAGCGAAUGAUUAGAGGAAUCGGGGAUAUAUUACUCUCGACCUAUUCUCAAACUUCCAACCGGUGAGGGAGGUAUUUACUUGAGUGAAAUGUGAAAUACCUCGUGGAAUGUCUUUGUCUCAAGUGGGCCAUUUUUGGUAAGCAGAACUGGCGAUGCGGGAUGAACCGAGAGUUGAGCUAAGGUGCCUAAGGACACGUUGAUAGAUACCACAAAAGGAGUCGGUCGAUAAAGACAGCAGGGCGGUGGCCCUGAAAGUAGGAAUCCGCUAAGGAAUUGUCUAAAAACUCACCUGCCGAAUCGACCGGCCCUGAAAAUGGAUGGCGCUGAAGCGUGUCACCGAUGCUCGACCUCUACCACGAGAAAUGUGUUUGGUAGGGGGUAGAAGGGCGCGGCGGUAGCGAUAAAGUGCAAAGUGUAAACUUGUAUGGAGCUGCCGUCGGUGUAGAUCUUGGUGGUAGUAGCAAUUAUAAAAGUGAAAACCUUUUAGGCCGAAGUGGAGAAGGGUUCCACGUGAACAGCAGUUGGACGUGGGUUAGUCGGUCCUAAGCGGUUGCCUAACGGUGGCGUACUAAAGCCAACUUGGUGUGUUUUUACGAGCAUGACUUGUUGGAAUCCGCGAAAGGGAAUCAGGUUAAUAUUCCUGAACCGGGCUACGGAGAUGCUACUUUUGGUUGGGGUGUUGCUUCGAAUUAAAUUUUUGUUAAAUUUAAAGUUUGCAUUUCAAUUGGCAAGAGUAGCUUAGCGGUAACGCAAACAAUCUCGGAGACGUUGACAUGUAUGGCGGAGAGAAUUAUCUUUUCUGUAUAACAGGCAAUGUGGUACCUUGGAAUCGAGUCGUUCGGAGAUAAGGUAAAAAGCCUGGAAGAGCACCGCAACUACUGCAGUGUCCGCAUUGUAUGUGUCGACCCUUGAAAAUCCGAGGGAGUGGAUAAAUUUCUAGCCCGUCCGUACCGAAUCCGCAUCAGGUCUCCUAGGUGAGCAGCCUCUGGCACUGGAACAAUGUAGGUAAGGGAAGUCGGCAAAAUAGAUCCGUAACUUUGGGAAAAGGAUUGGCUCUAAGGGCCGGGCCAAUGGAGCUGGUGUUGCCUAGGUUAGUGGGCGYGUGGUUGGCCCUUCACGGGCUUGUGGUUUAAUCGAUUGCAAGUGUGCGAGAGUGGAUUGCGCGAACGCUGACUGUGGAACGCCGGCGUGAGUUUCGGUGUGUUGAAACUCUGGUUGUUYCUCUUAUUAUAUUUCACGAUGUASUAAGAGAGAUGRCAAGGGCCAGCAUAUGGGGCUCUUUACGAUUGGCAAGCAUCGGYCAGCUUAGAACUGUUACCAACUUGGGGAAUCCGACUGUUUAAUUAAAACAAAGCAUUGCGAUGGCCUAAACAAGGUGUUGACGCAAUGUGAUUU